UACAGAGGUCCCAAGCGUUGUUCGGAUUUACUGGGCGUAAAGGGUGCGUAGGUGGCGGGGUAAGUCUGGUGUGAAAGCUCCGAGCUCAACUCGGAAAAGCAUUGGAAACUAUCCCGCUUGAGGGUCGGAGGGGAGACUGGAAUUCUCGGUGUAGCAGUGAAAUGCGUAGAUAUCGAGAGGAACACCUGCGGCGAAGGCGGGUUGCUGGGCUGACACUGACGCUGACAGCGCGAAAGCUAGGGGAGCGAACGGG
RNAcentral lists this ribosomal RNA (253 nucleotides) under uncultured bacterium. RNAcentral describes it as "partial 16S ribosomal RNA". It matches the Rfam family "Bacterial small subunit ribosomal RNA", at positions 524 to 776 of the family's 1533-position model. The record is from RNAcentral.